RNAcentral lists this ribosomal RNA (292 nucleotides) under uncultured bacterium. RNAcentral's name for it is "partial 16S ribosomal RNA". The record is from RNAcentral.
GGACUACACGGGUAUCUAAUCCCGUUUGCUCCCCUGGCUUUCGUGUCUCAGCGUCGGUGCACCCCCAGCAGCUUGCUUUCGCCAUUGGCGUUCCAAAUGAUAUCAACGCAUUUUACCGCUCCACCAUUUGUUCCGGCUGCCCCUAGGUGACCCAAGACCGCCAGUAUGCCCAGCAGUUCCAUGGUUAAGCCAUGGGAUUUCACAAGGCACUUAACGAUCCGCCUACACACGCUUUAAGCCCAGUGAUUCCGCCUAACGCUCGGCACCUCUGUCUUACCGCGGCUGCUGGCAC